This 500-nucleotide ribosomal RNA is filed under the name uncultured bacterium. RNAcentral's name for it is "bacterial SSU rRNA". It matches the Rfam family "Bacterial small subunit ribosomal RNA", at positions 28 to 517 of the family's 1533-position model. The record is from RNAcentral.
GAUGAACGCUAGCUACAGGCUUAACACAUGCAAGUCGAGGGGCAGCAUGGACAUAGCUUGCUAUGUUUGAUGGCGACCGGCGCACGGGUGCGUAACACGUAUCCAAUCUGCCCGUUACUCGGGGAUAGCCUUCUGAAAGGAAGAUUAAUACCCGAUGGCAUGUAUUUCCGGCAUCGGAGAUACAUUAAAGAUUAAUCGGUAACGGAUGAGGAUGCGUACGAUUAGCUUGUUGGCGGGGUAACGGCCCACCAAGGCAACGAUCGUUAGGGGUUCUGAGAGGAAGGUCCCCCACACUGGAACUGAGACACGGUCCAGACUCCUACGGGAGGCAGCAGUGAGGAAUAUUGGUCAAUGGUCGGAAGACUGAACCAGCCAAGUAGCGUGAAGGAUGACUGCCCUACGGGUUGUAAACUUCUUUUGUUUGGGAAUAAAAGACGCUACGUGUAGCGUUCUGCAUGUACCUUACGAAUAAGCAUCGGCUAAUUCCGUGCCAGCAGCCG